UCCGUAUAACAAUACUCCGAGAACUGAAAGGCUUUUUGAAGUCUUCGGAUGGAUAGAAGAACCCCUGAUGCCGUCGAGCCAAGAAAAGUUUCUAAGUUUAGCUAAUGUUGCCCGUACCGUAAACCGACACAGGUGGGUGGGAUGAGUAUUCUAAGGCGCGUGGAAGAACUCUCUUUAAGGAACUCUGCAAAAUAGCACCGUAUCUUCGGUAUAAGGUGUGGUUAGCUUCGUACUAGGAUUUACUCCGAAAGCGAAGAAACUUACAACAAAGAGUCCCUCCCGACUGUUUACCAAAAACACAGCACUCUGCUAACUCGUAAGAGGAUGUAUAGGGUGUGACGCCUGCCCGGUGCUCGAAGGUUAAUUGAUGGGGUUAGCAUUAGCGAAGCUCUUGAUCGAAGCCCGAGUAAACGGCGGCCGUAACUAUAACGGUCCUAAGGUAGCGAAAUUCCUUGUCGGUUAAAUACCGACCUGCAUGAAUGGCGUAACGAGAUGGGAGCUGUCUCAAAGAGGGAUCCAGUGAAAUUGUAGUGGAGGUGAAAAUUCCUCCUACCCGCGGCAAGACGGAAAGACCCCGUGGACCUUUACUACAGCUUGACACUGCUACUUGGAUAAGAAUGUGCAGGAUAGGUGGGAGGCUUUGAGUAUAUGACGCCAGUUGUAUAUGAGCCAUUGUUGAGAUACCACUCUUUCUUAUUUGGGUAGCUAACCAGCUUGAGUUAUCCUCAAGUGGGACAAUGUCUGGUGGGUAGUUUGACUGGGGCGGUCGCCUCCCAAAUAAUAACGGAGGCUUACAAAGGUUGGCUCAGAACGGUUGGAAAUCGUUCGUAGAGUAUAAAGGUAUAAGCCAGCUUAACUGCAAGACAUACAAGUCAAGCAGAGACGAAAGUCGGUCUUAGUGAUCCGGUGGUUCUGUGUGGAAGGGCCAUCGCUCAAAGGAUAAAAGGUACCCCGGGGAUAACAGGCUGAUCUCCCCCAAGAGCUCACAUCGACGGGGAGGUUUGGCACCUCGAUGUCGGCUCAUCGCAUCCUGGGGCUGGAGCAGGUCCCAAGGGUAUGGCUGUUCGCCAUUUAAAGCGGUACGCGAGCUGGGUUCAGAACGUCGUGAGACAGUUCGGUCCCUAUCUGCCGUGGGCGUAAGAAGAUUGAAGAGAUUUGACCCUAGUACGAGAGGACCGGGUUGAACAAACCACUGGUGUAGCUGUUGUUCUGCCAAGAGCAUCGCAGCGUAGCUAAGUUUGGAAAGGAUAAACGCUGAAAGCAUCUAAGCGUGAAGCCAACUCUAAGAUGAAUCUUCUCUAAGCUCUCUAGAAG
RNAcentral lists this ribosomal RNA (1314 nucleotides) under Campylobacter jejuni. RNAcentral describes it as "partial 23S ribosomal RNA". It matches the Rfam family "Bacterial large subunit ribosomal RNA", at positions 1533 to 2832 of the family's 2925-position model. Lineage: Bacteria; Pseudomonadati; Campylobacterota; Epsilonproteobacteria; Campylobacterales; Campylobacteraceae. The record is from RNAcentral.